GCACGGUUAUCUAGGUAAAAAUGUAUAUAAGCUGUGUUUAGUAGUGAAUAAACGCCAUUUGCCUCACUUACUCCUGGGGUCUGGGUGAGCAUCUGGCCCCGACCUGGUAAAGGGUCGGUUUCGCCCAGCAGUAAGCCCUACAUGUGGACAGAGGACGAACACCGGAUGAGCGAACGGAGACUACAUGCAACAAGUGGUGACCCCGACGUGAUCUGUCUGCUGAGGGUGGCUGCCCGGCGUGCCCGUGACGCGGAGAAGAGCCUGUGAGGUGGCGGCAGGUCGCAUACGUAACAAUGGACCAAGUCAUUAAGACCGAAGCCAACUCCAGAACAACUGAGGGACAGACGAUGGGAUCAAGAACCACUCGUCAAGAGGAGCACUACACCUGCAACGCUGACACUUCCGAUGUUGCUGAUAUUUAUGGUGUCCAUGGCGAUUACAGAGUGUCACAAACAACUACAAUGGACACAAGAACAUAUGCAGAAAAUUAAAGAAGAGCGUGAUCCCUUUGGAAGCUGGCUGGACGGACUGUUUGGGGGAACGGGUUCAUGGUUAAAGCAAUUGCUUAAAGCUCUCGCAGUAGGAUUUGCAAUCUUUGUGUGUAUUCUAAUCUGUCUUCCAUGCCUUGUAGGAUGCUUGCCUUCAACGAAUGAUGGACAAGACUUUUGACUAUCACAUUGAGUAUCAUAGAUUGCGUGAAAAAUUAUAGAGGGGUUUAGGUUGUUGCGUUCGUGCUGUAACGGGGCAAGGCUUGGCCGAGCACGGAAAAGAAUUCCCUGUUGCUCUGAUGAUUGCUUAAGAACUGUAGUAGAAAAUAGUAGGAAUAGUGUGCUGAAAUAUAUUUAGGAUUAGGCGUUUUGCGCUGCUUCGCGAUGUACGGGUUAGGUGUGUGUGUAAGUAGUAUUUAGCUUAGGGAGGGGGAGAUGUUGUAGUAGGCGUCUUGCGGGGGCACGGGAUGUACGGGACAGGCCUCUCCCUAAACAUAGAGAGAUAGUGCUAUCGUGCUGACCUUGUUGCAGAGAAAACAGGAGAAGAAGAAGGAUGAUAAAAGAAUGUGGAAACGGCCAAAUAAGGCACAAUGUUAUCUGGUGUGAACUAAUCAGAGUGGGACAUGACAGCACGGUUAUCUAGGUAAAAAUGUAUAUAAGCUGUGUUUAGUAGUGAAUAAACGCCAUUUGCCUCACUUACUCCUGGGGUCUGGGUGAGCAUCUGGCCCCGACCUGGUAAAGGGUCGGUUUCGCCCAGCAGUAAGCCCUACAUGUGGACAGAGGACGAACACCGGAUGAGCGAACGGAGACUACAUGCAACAGAUCCCUUCCAACCCAAACCAUUCUGUGAUUCCGAGAUUCUGAGAAGCAAGUGAAUAGCUGUUCAACUUCUGCAGCCAGCAUUAUUUAGAGGAGCCACUUUGUUGCGUUCUUCAUUUUUCAGACUGAAAUACUCUGAUUAACAAAAAUUAGUUCAGGUUGCUUUUUUUUUUAAUUCAAAGUACUCUUCUCACUCCUCUUUAAAUAUAUCAGCUAUACAAACAAAUCCAGCUUCUCUUCCUGAUAUAUUUAAGUACCUGUCUUUCUCACACUCAGCAAACAAAACAGGAUAGAAAAUAUGUUUGCCUCUCACAAAGACAGCAAAGCAAGUAAAACAAGAAAUUCACAGUAUAUCAAUUAUGAUCAAACCUUUGUGGUUUGUUGUUGUUGUUGUUUGUAGAAAACAAUCAAGGGAAAAAUUCUACUAGUAUAGACAGUUAUAUCACCUUGACAAAUUAUCUCUCUAAUGAACAACUUUGGCUAUACAUUCUUACAUUAUUUUAAUCAUCCAAAAAAAGCAUAAAUUUGUGUUACUUUAAUCAUGGAAAAAUAGGUAAGAACCCCCUAUUAGUUCUACAUUAUAAAAUAUGAAAGCUACAGAUCUUUUCUUUUUUUUAUGCAUUGCAAAUUGUCUUGUCAGAAGAACAUGAAGAUCAAAUGGCUUUGGCAAGUGAUUAAAAUCCAAGUAGAAGCGGUGAUCAUCUAAAAUGUUAUCUGUUGUUCGUAGGUGGUAAUGCUAUUUAUACACAGUGAAAUAAGGAAAGACCAAGAAAUGACAGUGAAAACCAUGUUAUAGAAGUUGGUGGGGAGAGAAAAAGGGAAAAACAGAACAACUUGGUAGUCUUUGAACAUUGAUGUUCUUCAAUCAGCUGCUAGCAUCAAAUAUCUGUCAUUGGAAAUUUAUUAGCAACUAUUUUAAUAAAUUCUGCAAAUCCUGGAUACUUUCCACUGUGCAUUUCUGAUAACUUACAG
Molecule: long non-coding RNA, 2279 nt
Organism: Gallus gallus (chicken)
Lineage: Eukaryota; Metazoa; Chordata; Aves; Galliformes; Phasianidae
Source: Ensembl